CUACGGUAAAUGGUGCUUCGGAUAACUGUUGCCUCACGGUGGACGCCCUUUGGGUGUGCCAUUGUGACCGAAUAGCGCUUGCGGCGUUGCCUCGUACAACAGCCAUAUAAUGUGCAUGUUGAUAUCACGGCAACCUCGCUCUCGCUUUUGGUCUAGGAUGCUGCUCACGAUAAAGGCUCGAGGCCCUUCGGGUUGCCUCGAUCCGAAACAAUGUUCUCUCUCYGAAAUGGCGACAACCGUGUUCAUGUCUUGCCUCUACCUUCCACAGUUACGUGGUAGGAUACGCAACCCUAUGGAUCCGGCCCUCAUGGAGGAAGAGACAUGCUUUCUCCGAAAUGGCGACAACCGUGUUCAUGUCUUGCCUCUACCUUCCACAGUUACGUGGUAGGAUACGCAACCCUAUGGAUCCGACCCUCAUGGAGGAGGAGACAUGCUCUGUCUGAAAUGGCGACAACCGUGUUAAUGUCUUGCCUCUAUCUCUCCCCA
Molecule: unclassified non-coding RNA, 486 nt
Filed under: Bromus induratus
Lineage: Eukaryota; Viridiplantae; Streptophyta; Magnoliopsida; Poales; Poaceae
Description: partial miscellaneous RNA
Source: RNAcentral